This 589-nucleotide ribosomal RNA is filed under the name Streptococcus suis. RNAcentral describes it as "bacterial SSU rRNA". It matches the Rfam family "Bacterial small subunit ribosomal RNA", at positions 103 to 680 of the family's 1533-position model. The record is from RNAcentral. Lineage: Bacteria; Bacillati; Bacillota; Bacilli; Lactobacillales; Streptococcaceae.
CGGGUGAGUAACGCGUAGGUAACCUGCCUCAUAGCGGGGGAUAACUAUUGGAAACGAUAGCUAAUACCGCAUAACAGUAUUUACCGCAUGGUAGAUAUUUGAAAGGAGCAAUUGCUUCACUAUGAGAUGGACCUGCGUUGUAUUAGCUAGUUGGUGAGGUAACGGCUCACCAAGGCUUCGAUACAUAGCCGACCUGAGAGGGUGAUCGGCCACACUGGGACUGAGACACGGCCCAGACUCCUACGGGAGGCAGCAGUAGGGAAUCUUCGGCAAUGGGGGCAACCCUGACCGAGCAACGCCGCGUGAGUGAAGAAGGUUUUCGGAUCGUAAAGCUCUGUUGUAAGAGAAGAACGUGUGUGAGAGUGGAAAGUUCACACAGUGACGGUAUCUUACCAGAAAGGGACGGCUAACUACGUGCCAGCAGCCGCGGUAAUACGUAGGUCCCGAGCGUUGUCCGGAUUUAUUGGGCGUAAAGCGAGCGCAGGCGGUUUGAUAAGUCUGAAGUAAAAGGCUGUGGCUUAACCAUAGUACGCUUUGGAAACUGUCAAACUUGAGUGCAGAAGGGGAGAGUGGAAUUCCAUGUGUAGCG